Molecule: transfer RNA, 73 nt
Filed under: Pycnococcus provasolii
Lineage: Eukaryota; Viridiplantae; Chlorophyta; Pseudoscourfieldiophyceae; Pseudoscourfieldiales; Pycnococcaceae
Also listed under: 1 other name
Description: tRNA-Asn
Rfam family: tRNA
About the family: Transfer RNA (tRNA) molecules are approximately 80 nucleotides in length. Their secondary structure includes four short double-helical elements and three loops (D, anti-codon, and T loops).
Source: RNAcentral
UCUUCUGUAGCUCAGUGGUUAGAGCAUGUGGCUGUUAACUACAAAGUCAAGAGUUCAAAUCUCUUCAGAAGAG